UUUAUGGAGAGUUUGAUCCUGGCUCAGGAUGAACGCUGGCGGCGUGCCUAAUACAUGCAAGUCGAGCGAACAGAUAAGGAGCUUGCUCCUUUGACGUUAGCGGCGGACGGGUGAGUAACACGU
RNAcentral lists this ribosomal RNA (123 nucleotides) under Staphylococcus gallinarum. RNAcentral's name for it is "partial 16S ribosomal RNA". It matches the Rfam family "Bacterial small subunit ribosomal RNA", at positions 1 to 118 of the family's 1533-position model. The record is from RNAcentral. RNAcentral also lists the same sequence under 2 other names. Lineage: Bacteria; Bacillati; Bacillota; Bacilli; Caryophanales; Staphylococcaceae.